GCACAAGCAGCGGAGCAUGUGGUUUAAUUCGAAGCAACGCGAAGAACCUUACCAGGACUUGACAUCCCUCUGACCGGCGUGUAACGGCGCCUUCCCUUCGGGGCAGAGGAGACAGGUGGUGCAUGGUUGUCGUCAGCUCGUGUCGUGAGAUGUUGGGUUAAGUCCCGCAACGAGCGCAACCCUUGUCGUUAGUUGCCAGCAGGUGAAGCUGGGCACUCUAGUGAGACUGCCGGGGACAACUCGGAGGAAGGUGGGGAUGACGUCAAAUCAUCAUGCCCCUUAUGUUCUGGGCUACACACGUGCUACAAUGGCCGGUACAGAGAGACGCAAUGUCGCGAGGCGGAGCAAAACUCUAAAACCGGUCCCAGUUCGGAUUGCAGGCUGAAACUCGCCUGCAUGAAGUCGGAGUUGCUAGUAAUCGCGAAUCAGAAUGUCGCGGUGAAUGCGUUCCCGGGUCUU
RNAcentral lists this ribosomal RNA (459 nucleotides) under uncultured Eubacteriales bacterium. Its description in RNAcentral is "bacterial SSU rRNA". It matches the Rfam family "Bacterial small subunit ribosomal RNA", at positions 923 to 1382 of the family's 1533-position model. The record is from RNAcentral. Lineage: Bacteria; Bacillati; Bacillota; Clostridia; Eubacteriales.